Molecule: long non-coding RNA, 613 nt
Organism: Ornithorhynchus anatinus (platypus)
Lineage: Eukaryota; Metazoa; Chordata; Mammalia; Monotremata; Ornithorhynchidae
Exons: 2
Source: RefSeq, a predicted model, not a curated record
GCUCUAUCUACCAGGCCACACUGCUACUAGUGGUAGGAGCCCUGGUCAAUUUCGCAGCCAAUACCAGUACUGAAUGGGGAAAUUGAAAAACUGCAGAAUCGAUUUGCAGAAGUGAAGUUCUAUUUUCUUUUACACCUCUUUCAUCAGAGCUGGUAUCAUUCUUGUGUUGUGUGGUAUUAUUAUUGACAGAUUCCUGGGCAUUGCUGAUAAUUGUUGAAAGAGGCUAAAGCCAUUCCUUUAAAGUGGAAGCAGAAAUCACAUAAGGAGACUUUGGACAAUAUUCUUAUCUUCCAUAUGUGUUUCCUUCGGACAACCCGUGUUUCAUCUCUGCUCCGAUUUAAAUGUAAAGCUCUCAUCCCCCAUUUUCUCACUCUAUCCUAGAUUUACUUGCCUCGACUAUUGUGUUCCUCUGUUUUUUUGUGCAAAAGUGAUAAAAUUCAAGGCCAUAAAGCUUUUAAUUCUGAAUUUGAAUAUAAGGAGGAAUGGUUAAAAAAAAUCUUAUAGAUUGUACUGUUGUUCUAAAACUUGAUGAAUUGGCUUCCCAAUGUAACAUGUUUUUAAAAAAAGUUAUUUUGUUAUGGUAUAAUUUAAUUAAACCUGCUUUAUUUUUGGA